CCGUGGCCAUCUUGGCUCAGG
RNAcentral lists this small RNA (21 nucleotides) under Karenia brevis. Its description in RNAcentral is "trans-spliced leader sequence SL". The record is from RNAcentral. Lineage: Eukaryota; Dinophyceae; Gymnodiniales; Kareniaceae.